Molecule: ribosomal RNA, 1133 nt
Filed under: Klebsiella pneumoniae
Lineage: Bacteria; Pseudomonadati; Pseudomonadota; Gammaproteobacteria; Enterobacterales; Enterobacteriaceae
Description: bacterial SSU rRNA
Rfam family: Bacterial small subunit ribosomal RNA
Source: RNAcentral
AAAUUGAAGAGUUUGAUCAUGGCUCAGAUUGAACGCUGGCGGCAGGCCUAACACAUGCAAGUCGAGCGGUAGCACAGAGAGCUUGCUCUCGGGUGACGAGCGGCGGACGGGUGAGUAAUGUCUGGGAAACUGCCUGAUGGAGGGGGAUAACUACUGGAAACGGUAGCUAAUACCGCAUAACGUCGCAAGACCAAAGUGGGGGACCUUCGGGCCUCAUGCCAUCAGAUGUGCCCAGAUGGGAUUAGCUAGUAGGUGGGGUAACGGCUCACCUAGGCGACGAUCCCUAGCUGGUCUGAGAGGAUGACCAGCCACACUGGAACUGAGACACGGUCCAGACUCCUACGGGAGGCAGCAGUGGGGAAUAUUGCACAAUGGGCGCAAGCCUGAUGCAGCCAUGCCGCGUGUGUGAAGAAGGCCUUCGGGUUGUAAAGCACUUUCAGCGGGGAGGAAGGCGUUAAGGUUAAUAACCUUGUCGAUUGACGUUACCCGCAGAAGAAGCACCGGCUAACUCCGUGCCAGCAGCCGCGGUAAUACGGAGGGUGCAAGCGUUAAUCGGAAUUACUGGGCGUAAAGCGCACGCAGGCGGUCUGUCAAGUCGGAUGUGAAAUCCCCGGGCUCAACCUGGGAACUGCAUUCGAAACUGGCAGGCUAGAGUCUUGUAGAGGGGGGUAGAAUUCCAGGUGUAGCGGUGAAAUGCGUAGAGAUCUGGAGGAAUACCGGUGGCGAAGGCGGCCCCCUGGACAAAGACUGACGCUCAGGUGCGAAAGCGUGGGGAGCAAACAGGAUUAGAUACCCUGGUAGUCCACGCCGUAAACGAUGUCGAUUUGGAGGUUGUGCCCUUGAGGCGUGGCUUCCGGAGCUAACGCGUUAAAUCGACCGCCUGGGGAGUACGGCCGCAAGGUUAAAACUCAAAUGAAUUGACGGGGGCCCGCACAAGCGGUGGAGCAUGUGGUUUAAUUCGAUGCAACGCGAAGAACCUUACCUGGUCUUGACAUCCACAGAACUUUCCAGAGAUGGAUUGGUGCCUUCGGGAACUGUGAGACAGGUGCUGCAUGGCUGUCGUCAGCUCGUGUUGUGAAAUGUUGGGUUAAGUCCCGCAACGAGCGCAACCCUUAUCCUUUGUUGCCAGCGGU